This 1175-nucleotide ribosomal RNA is filed under the name uncultured bacterium. Its description in RNAcentral is "bacterial SSU rRNA". It matches the Rfam family "Bacterial small subunit ribosomal RNA", at positions 200 to 1399 of the family's 1533-position model. The record is from RNAcentral.
GGAAAAGGAUUUAUUCGCUUUAGGAUGGACUCGCGUCCAAUUAGCUAGUUGGUGAGGUAACGGCCCACCAAGGCGACGAUUUGGUAGCCGGACUGAGAGGUUGAACGGCCACAUUGGGACUGAGACACGGCCCAGACUCCUACGGGAGGCAGCAGUGGGGGAUAUUGCACAAUGGGGGAAACCCUGAUGCAGCGACGCCGCGUGGAGGAAGAAGGUUUUCGGAUUGUAAACUCCUGUCGUUAGGGACGAUAAUGACGGUACCUAACAAGAAAGCACCGGCUAACUACGUGCCAGCAGCCGCGGUAAAACGUAGGGUGCAAGCGUUGUCCGGAAUUACUGGGUGUAAAGGGAGCGCAGGCGGGAAGACAAGUUGGAAGUGAAAACCAUGGGCUCAACCCAUGAAUUGCUUUCAAAACUGUUUUUCUUGAGUAGUGCAGAGGUAGAUGGAAUUCUCGGUGUAGCGGUGGAAUGCGUAGAUAUCGGGAGGAACACCAGUGGCGAAGGCGGUCUACUGGGCACCAACUGACGCUGAGGCUCGAAAGCAUGGGUAGCAAACAGGAUUAGAUACCCUGGUAGUCCAUGCCGUAAACGAUGAUUACUAGGUGUGGGGGGAUUGACCCCCUCAGUGCCGCAGUUAACACAAUAAGUAAUCCACCUGGGGAGUACGACCGCAAGGUUGAAACUCAAAGGAAUUGACGGGGGCCCGCACAAGCAGUGGAGUAUGUGGUUUAAUUCGAAGCAACGCGAAGAACCUUACCAGGUCUUGACAUCCGAUGCAUAGCACAAAGAUGUGUGAAAUCCUUCGGGACAUCGAGACAGGUGGUGCAUGGUUGUCGUCAGCUCGUGUCGUGAGAUGUUGGGUUAAGUCCCGCAACGAGCGCAACCCUUAUUGCCAGUUACUACGUAAGAGGACUCUGGCGAGACUGCCGUUGACAAAACGGAGGAAGGUGGGGAUGACGUCAAAUCAUCAUGCCCUUUAUGACCUGGGCUACACACGUACUACAAUGGCGUUUAACAAAGAGAAGCAAGACCGCGAGGUGGAGCAAAACUCAAAAACAACGUCUCAGUUCAGAUUGCAGGCUGCAACUCGCCUGCAUGAAGUCGGAAUUGCUAGUAAUCGCGGAUCAGCAUGCCGCGGUGAAUACGUUCCCGGGCCUUGCACUCACCGCCCGUCA